RNAcentral lists this ribosomal RNA (396 nucleotides) under Centrocolumna evidens. Its description in RNAcentral is "Symploce evidens partial 12S ribosomal RNA". The record is from RNAcentral. Lineage: Eukaryota; Metazoa; Arthropoda; Insecta; Blattodea; Blattellidae.
UAUUAUUUUAGAUGUAAAUUAUAUAAACUUGAGUAGUAUUAGUUAAGGUCUUGAAACUUAAAGAAUUUGGCGGUAUUUUAGUCUAUUUAGAGGAAUCUGUCCCGUUAUCGAUAAUCCACGUUGGACCUUACUUGAUUUAUUAAUAUGUAUACCGCCGUUGUUGAAAAUCUUUUUAGGGUAUGUAAUUUUUUUAAUAUUUAUUAAAUAAUUUUUCAGGUCAAGGUGCAGUUUAUAAUCAAGUGGAGAUGGAUUACAAUAUUUUAAAGUAUAUGGAUUUUUGUUUUUAAUUUAAUGAUAUGAAGGUGGAUUUAAUAGUAAUGUUAUGAAGAUUAUUAAUGUGAUUUUAGCUCUAAAAUAUGUACACAUCGCCCGUCGCUCUCGUUAUUUUAAGGUGAG